AGUGAACGCUGGCGGCAGGCCUAACACAUGCAAGUCGAACGGCAGCACAGGGGAGCUUGCUCCCUGGGUGGCGAGUGGCGGACGGGUGAGGAAUACAUCGGAAUCUACCCUUUCGUGGGGGAUAACGUAGGGAAACUUACGCUAAUACCGCAUACGAUCUGAGGAUGAAAGCAGGGGACCGCAAGGCCUUGCGCGAUGGGAUGAGCCGAUGUCCGAUUAGCUAGUUGGCGGGGUAAAGGCCCACCAAGGCGACGAUCGGUAGCUGGUCUGAGAGGAUGAGAAGCCACACUGGAACUGAGACACGGUCCAGACUCCUACGGGAGGCAGCAGUGGGGAAUAUUGGACAAUGGGCGCAAGCCUGAUCCAGCCAUGCCGCGUGUGUGAAGAAGGCCUUCGGGUUGUAAAGCACUUUUGUUGGGAAAGAAAUCCUGUCGGCUAAUACCCGGCUGGGAUGACGGUACCCAAAGAAUAAGCACCGGCUAACUUCGUGCCAGCAGCCGCGGUAA
Molecule: ribosomal RNA, 506 nt
Filed under: uncultured bacterium
Lineage: Bacteria
Description: partial 16S ribosomal RNA
Rfam family: Bacterial small subunit ribosomal RNA
Source: RNAcentral